Molecule: long non-coding RNA, 678 nt
Filed under: Sorghum bicolor (sorghum)
Lineage: Eukaryota; Viridiplantae; Streptophyta; Magnoliopsida; Poales; Poaceae
Description: long non-coding RNA (SBIC_LNC007923)
Source: RNAcentral
UAAAACUCUAAUUAAACCUCACUAAGACUUGCUUAAGAGUAAUCGUCCUUAUCAAUUUCUUAGUAGGUUACAAAAAAAACCUCUACAGCAUGUAUGGGGUACUGAACCAUGGCUAUUUCAAUCAUUAAGUUCCAACCAUUGGGCUAUAAUAUUUCAAUUUCGAUCUUUAAGUUAACAACUCUUUUAUAUGGUACUAGUAUAUAGUCGUAGGGAGCAAUGUGCAUGAUUUGCUAACUGCCAAAACUGAACGAACAGCAGAUUUACGUCACACAAGCAGGAUGGUCACGGACGGUCCAUUACCCAUACUAGAUGACAUGUACUGUGAUGUGGCAUGUCGAUCAUAUGCGACCAUCACACCCAGGCCCCACCACCAUCUGAUCUUUUAUGAUGCACUGGCUCAGCUCAUGCAAUGAAUUGACAACGACGUUAGGUCCGGGUUGGUUGAUUUGGUUGAUGAUUGGGAGUAAUAAAAAGGAAAAAGUCUGGUUUGGCGAAGAAAGCUAUAGCAAUGGGGUUUCAGCCCAAGAAAAGAGAAGGACUCUGAUGUAAUGGGCUCUCAGUAGAAAACAAUGUAGUAGAUUUGGCCCAACACGAACGUGGAGUUAAGAAAUUACUUCUCAAUUUUGAGGGAAAAAGAGAUGUAUUAUUUAAAAAAAAAUAAGAAAAUGUAGAACUGCC